RNAcentral lists this long non-coding RNA (42927 nucleotides) under Triticum aestivum (bread wheat). Its description in RNAcentral is "long non-coding RNA (TAES_LNC016334)". Lineage: Eukaryota; Viridiplantae; Streptophyta; Magnoliopsida; Poales; Poaceae. The record is from RNAcentral.
UGAAGAUGGGCCUAUGGUUUAGUGGGCUAGCCCAGCCCAUCUAGCUUAUUUCUUCACGUUACAAUACUAACACCUAAUUGCGCCUAAUUUCACCUAAUCACGCCUAAGCUAGAAAAGCGCAAGUAGGUGCCCAAACGCAUAAUUAGCGCCUAGCGCUUUUUUGAACUUUGCAAAAUAUAGGUAUGGAUCUCUAUUACAACAACGACUACACACUUUUUCCAGAGUGACUUAUAUAUAUAUGCUUGAUACAACUAUCUUCUACACAUCGCCCUUGCUCCAGAAUCGGCUGCGGUCUCAGGUUCCUUCUCCCACUAACCACCAGUGUCACAAUUUUGUUGUGGUUAUUCUGAAUAGCUGUCGUUGUCUCCCCCUGAGACUUGUGCGUGAGAAGAGGCGACCCAUUGAACAUGCAUUGUUAUACGCCAGGCAAGAAAUCUCCGCACUGCACCACGCACCGCCAACCACAAUGCCAUGUCCAUGAUCAAAAUUAAGAAGUGUUUUUGGCUCCCAGCCUUGGCCAAAAACUGCCAUCAGAACGCCAUGUGGUCUCUUAAGAGGCGGGAAAGAUUCUGGGGAAGCACCAGGACAUACCUUCUACAUCUCAGUGGUCGUGAUGGGUGGCGUUGAUCUCGUCGCCCCCUAGCAAUGGCUCCAUGGAGGGUUAGGGUUUUUUCGGAGCGUGCUUUUCCAUUGGAUGAGAUGUGUGCCUCCCUCCCGUGAGCUUGCGACAAUGCACUCGUGACCGUCGUCCUCCAUGCGUCAUUGCCACAUGAAACUGAAUGAAGAAACAGUAAGCAUAUUGCUUCAUGAAAAAUCAAAUACUAUUGCAACUAAAUGUAUAACACAGUAAUGAGAGUUUCGAGGUUCUUGUGUGUAUAGUCAGCUGGCAAUAAGGUACAAAUAUGUCCUUCUUUCAUCAGUUUCACGUUUGUAGCACUGACAAUACUUUUAAGCCACUGACUAUUAUAAUCUAUGAAAGAAUCCUCCUGAGCAAACAAACUCGGGCCAUAUGAGUCUAUUUUAUUUUUUAUUUUGUAGGAAACCAUGUAAAGUCCACUGAUAUUUGAUAGUUGAAAAAUUGGAAACUAAACAUUAGCAUAUUCUAGGGGACCAACACAAGUGAGAUAUGUGGCCAGCGGUAAAGAAUAUUAACCACUCAAAACAUAAACAAAAUUGUUCAACCUGAUGUACCUGGAAAUUAUCGGCGUGAAUAAAUGUCACUUUAAAAAAUAGCCUUGAAUUUUUCUAUAGUUAAUUGCCCGUGUGAUGCAACAGAGACAUACAUAUUUGAGUGGCUCAAUGACAAUCGUCCUGUAAAUCUUCCCUCCCUCUCUGAUCUUCCUCUCUCUACAUAUAUGCCCAUCUCCCUUCCUCCUAUCUCCCUCUCUCUACAUAUAUCCCCAUCUUCCUUCCUCCGGUCUCCCUUCCUUCCACCCUCUCUCGCUCAUUGUAGGCGUCACAGGGGACAGACAUUUUGUAAAGUACUAAUAAUUUCCAAGGACCAUUGUUCGCCUACAUCUAUAGCACAUGCCUCCCUUCCUCCCACCCACUCUUCCUAAGGUCUUCCUACCUUCCUAAGGUCUUCCCACGACAAAUGAAAGGGAACAGACAAGUAGCGGAGGUUUGCUUCGGAUAUUCUUCCAUUGAGAUACCAUGCUGAACGGAAGCUUCUUCGUCGAUUCCUGCACCUAUAUAACAAUCAUCAAGCAUAUCAAAUAGGGCUUGGUGUUCAGUAAGCAACUGGAAAGGAUUAAAUGGAGUCCGCCUUUCACGAAGUGCCUACCAAUGUAUCCCGUCGGAUGUCUCUUGCGUCAACUCUAUAAAACACUUGUAACAAACUUCUUCCCUGCUCAAUAUAUUGGAGCAACUAUGCUGCAUUUGUAGAAGAAAAUGACUCACAAGGAACAAUCAUUUUCUCUAGAUAAAACAUAAGAAACAAGAUGUAUGUUGACUUACUCCUUUAAAUCAAACAUGCUCCAUGGCAUGGCACAAGUCUUCAUGUUCCUAUCAAAACCGCAACCGAGUUGCAGAAGCACUUGGUCUUAUCUCGUAAUCUAGCAAAUAAUCAGAACUACCACCAAAUGUGACUACCACGGUACCACAAUGCUAUGUCAUGGUAUCACAUAUCAAUCCGUCAUAAGUCAUAAGACAAGAAUAAUACUAUAGCCAAGAUCUAAAUGGGGCUUCACUGCAUCUACAACUGGAUUUUCAAAGAAGCAUAACUGAAGCAUGUUGAAUAAGUACAAAGAGAUUCUAAUGAUGUAUAUCUGUAUGUGCAGCAAGUUGGAAAGUAAGAGACGCAGACAGCAAGCAAUUGUCAGAGCAGUUCAAAAUAUCAUGAUUAACCAGCGGCAAAUAAAUCAUGAAACAUGGGAUGUAACUUUCAACAAAUAAACCAAACAUCUUAAUCUCAGCACCCAUCGGCAUUGCAGGUGACGACCAUGUUGCUGCCCUUGCCAUUUUGGUUACGGUCAUCCAAAUCUUCCUCCUCGUCCUUUGAUAUAAAUAAUGCCCAGCAUUGUGAACACCGCGACUCGGUUUUGACCUGCAUCCAUGCGAGUGAGGUGGAUCAGAGACUGAUCUUGCAUGAAAAGAAGAGGAAAACUAUGGGAAAAUAGAGGAACCCCAAUGAAUCUUGUUCGCAUACAUUUGGUGUGUAGAUGGAUGGUUGCGACAGUGCAACAACAACGCAUGCCGGCAUCAAAUGGAAUAUUUCUUACGACGAUCGCUUGCAAGACUCGGUAGGGCGGAGGAGCCUUGGUUUAGAUGGCUACGGUCUGUGUCGGCUACGUUCUUUCCAUUAGAGCAUGUACGUACGCAGUGGUUGCUAAAUGUGCACAUUCAGCUCAGAAUUCAAGAAUCAAGAAACUGUAUUACUAAUAAAGACUAAAUGUGCACAUUCCAAUGGUGAACUACAAGGAUGCUACUACAACAGAAUCGAUAUUAAAUCAGAAUUACAGAAGACUGAAGAAAUUACUGUUAUAAGCACUCUUCAAAAGUUCAGAACCAGAUAUACUUGCUAAACUUUGUAAGUUCUUAAACUGUAUAAAUCUAGGAUCCUAAAUCUGUUUUCGUUGGCCAACACAAACAAUCUGCAAACUUAAUAGAAAAGAAUGCAAAGAGAAGAAAAAAGGCAAACCUUAUGUGUGAAUCAAUGGAUUGUGUGCCCGGCAGCCAAGCCACAACCAUCCACACAGAUGAGCCUCGUCCAAAUUCUUGUACAGUACAUUAUACGUCUGUUCCAUCACAAUUGGAACAUCCAGACAUCAAAUAAACGCUAGCCAGCGAGAUCCCUAGCCCCCGCCGAGCCGACUGUAUCAUCACUAUGAUCCAGCCAAGGAGCAGCCACGCUUGGCAGGGGAAGGACCACGCCGACGCCAUCGACGCAGAUGAGCAGCGUGCAACCUGCCCCCACGGGUCUCAUCGCAGAAGAUGCCGACGGAAACAGGGACCUGGCCGACAUCACCUCCAUCAUCCCGGACACGGUGUGCCAGGAUGGCCGCCAUGGGGAGUGGCUGCCACAGCCGCGAUUCAUGCAGAGACGGAAGACGUGGCGCGACAGCGGAGUUGGGAGAGAUAGAAGACCGCGGGGCAGCCGGGGGAGGGGGGCGGCGGCAAUGAUUAUGCGUAUCCUGGAGUUCGUCGGCAGGGUUUGAAACCGCCCUGCCCUGGAGACUUGGCGGCGGCGAUUCCCGGAGUUCGGCGGCGGUGACGCCCCAGCCGCUCCAACCCCUUAGCGAUGCGGCCGCCCGCUCCCAUCCUCAGUGCCCGCAACACGAGUUGGCGUCUAGGGUUAGCCGCAGCCCACAGGGGCGCGCGCAGGGGGGAACAGCGAGGAGGUGCUGGGGAUCGAUGGGGGAGACAGGGGUGGAGCCACGUUGGUGGCAGCUGACGCGAGAGCCGGAUGGCGUCGCCGGCAGCGUCGACAAGAAUCAGAGAGGGUGGCGGCGGCGGAUCUCCGAGGUGGCGAAGGGCUCCGCAGCUAGAGCGUCCUUGAUGAUGGAAUGAGGAAACGGAUCGAGGGGAUUCAAGGGCAGCAGGAACCCGCUCGUACCUGCCCUAGCAUCUGUUUUUUUAUUGGUUAAUUUUCGUAGGUUAAUUUUCGUAGUUUUUUUACAUCCGUUUUUCUUUCAAUUGACCGGAGGUUCGCACCCUUGUCCCAUUGCAAUCUCAGUUUUUUUUUUGACGCUUGUCGGUUCAGUGCGGAAUUCGCUAGGAGGUGGGAGGUGGGAUUGAGGACGAAAAUAAACCAUCUCUGGUGGGACGAAAAUUGACCGACGGAGACUACCAACUGCUCCAUUAGGAGUAGAGAUGCAUGGAUGCCGAUCGAUCUUCCUCAAUACAUAGCUUGGUCUCUCUCCUUCUCCAUGCAUAUACCAGUUGAUCUACCUCUCUAUGGUUAGGUCUCUGACCACCCUACACACACCAAUAGUCGAACGCCGUAGGUAGGUAUCCAUGCCACAAAGACAAAAUGCACCUCUCCCCUCUCACAUUCUAGUAGGCCAGCCACCCUAUAUCUUUGACGUGGGCAAACACAAAUUCGAUGGCACUCUUUAUCGAUCGUGCACCCACACACUUCAUCCCUCUCUCUGAUUCUAUCGAUAUCUCACCCCGAUGAUCCCUCCAAUCUCUUCUCGUAGAUCGCUCCCCUCUAUAUAUGAUAUAUCCAGGCCUCUGUUCCACACACAUUGCAUGUGUUAUAUUUUUUUAGUUUGAGAUAUCAUCGACACAUUGCCUCUGUUUCGCACAAACCAUCUCUCUCACACACACCCACUUACGUGGGGUACCUGCACGUAGAGAAGAGGUGCACGCAUGACGCAUGUACUCACGUCUCGUUCCCGGCACACCCGCGCGGGUACACGGUGGAGCUCAUUUCUAAACGAAAAGGCAACCCACGUGAUAGUUUGACGCAUGGAGCGAUUGUUUACUUGAAGGAGGGUCAUGUACCACGCAUACACAGAACAAAGUUCGACGUGACACGUUAGUUUUAAAUAAAGUUAUAUUUCUGAAUGGCAUGUACAGAAUAUAGAAUGAUUGGUAUCGAGAAAAACGAAAUCCGCUCCACUCUAUACAAUGGAGCCUGCCUGUCGGGCUUUGUCUCUCGUCACACUAUCUCACACACGGCGGCGAUGGCCCUCUCUCUCUCACCGUUGGUCACCGGUCCGGCCGCAUACCGUCCGCUGGCGGAAAGGGAGGAUGUGCAUCAUUUCUCCGUUCAAUGGCGUCGAGGCAGCACGUCCCGAUCUACGAUAUCCGACGUUCUCUCUGACGAACCUCUGGCGUGGUAUGGGCAGAUCCCGGCCGCCGGCGCCCUCCUAGUUACACCCUGACUACCCUCAUGUACAGCUUCCUCCGGCCUUACUCCACUGUCCAUCUUCCCACGUUGCUGAAAAUCCUGCAUGUGGAUCUUCCCUAGAUCUUUUCCCAAAGCGUAGCUCAGCCUGCGUACUUUCCAUGUUGCAAUCUCGUCCUCACACCGUUUUACAUAAACAAUUGUGUUGCUAUCUUCCCUUAGGACAAGUAAUAUGCUUAUUUUUUAUCAGCGUAUGUGUCAUAAACUGUUAUUGGCCAGUAAUUGUUUCCUUUCUACCUUUUUUUGCAAACAAGGCUAUCCAUUUUACCUCGUCACUAUUGCGACCUUUUGGUGAACUGCACAAAUCAAUUUUUUCUUAAGAGUGUUUUGUGCAGCUUUGCCGAAAUGUCACGCGGGCAAUGUUUGUACAUUUCAGUGGGACUGCACAAAGGGAGAUUGGUUUUGCUCUACCCUCCUCAUCCAACUCCGAGCCUAAUCUUCUCCAACUAUUUGCUUAAUCUUCUCCAACUAGUCAGUCUUAAGAGAGACUGCAAAGGUGACCGGCUUCUAUUUGUGUGUGUAUUGUUUCAUCAACAGUCCUCUAUUAUUGUAAUCACACUUACUCAAUAUCUUUGGAACAUGGAUGCUCAGCUCUAUUUUAGUGGAACUACACAAAAUGAUCAGAAUGUUCCAUGCUCCUGACAGCUACUUUGUUUCCCAACAUGCCUUGUUGAUAUAGACAGAGCUAGGGGGAAGUUGCUGCCAAUGAAAGCAUGGAUCAAUUUUAAUUUAACACCUUCUCACAACUUUGUCUUUAGUUGUGAUGUAAAUAUUAGCUUUGAUCUGCUAAUCACUGAGAUGCAUUAGCAAGGAAGUUAGUUUUUAUAUUUUUUUUCGAAAGAGCAUGGAUGUUAGUUUCCUUUCUAGUAUUUGAUUGAUGUUGUAGCGAGACAACCUUCCAGCUGACAAGACACAUGAAACAAAAGUUGAAAGCUUCAGAGCAUUGUACAAUUUCAUGUCGCUGGAGAAAUAUUUGUACAUCAAUUAUGCAAACAAAUUCUAGAAGGUCGAUAACAUUGCCAGAAGCAAUUCAGCAUCCGGGGCCAUGUGCCAAGCACCAAAUUAGAGUGCACAACCUCGAUGGGAGACUCAGCUCGGUCGUUGCGACACACUAAUAGUAAGUAAUGAGCAGUCAAAUCAUAAGCCCCACCUUUCCCACUAUAAGUUGCUCGGACGAAGCAACCAUCAAUACGCUCUUCUUUGAAUCGGCUCAUACUAGUAUGAAGGUGCAAAACCAAGUGCGCGUAUGGACUGUCGGUCAAUAUGCUUCUUCUUGGCAUACCACUGACAUGUGGGACUGGAGUGUGAGCAAACCGAUCUCAAUUGACGGCAAAUGGCCGCUCCUUGAAGCUUAGACAAGGAGCAAGAACACAGACGGGCUAUGUAUCGCACAGAGGCCAAGAAAUAUUAGAGCAUGGUUGAUCGACGUCAUCAUUACAUGUUUGAUGUUUUUAAUAGUACUAUUGGGCUGUCGUUUUCCACACUUCUCCUGAAUAAAUGUGUACUUUAUCACAGAUUGAAAUAAAAUAAGAGUGAAGACGCUCCACCAUGCGGUUCCUAGUACCUGUACACUAGUAGUACUGCUCGUACUACUAAACCUUGCGCUUGGCUCUUCGCCUCUUCGGGAAGUUGAACAAUGAUGGUGCUACGGUGUAUGCCUCUGGCAAUCUGACAUCGAAUGAACCGUUGCACGUCCACCGCCUAGGCGAGGGUAGGUUGCAUUAGUCAAAAGCUUCUCAUCGUCCUGCGAGCCACCACGCUUGAGGUAGACGGAGAGGGUGUAAGCAAGCUUCACCUUGUCCUGCAAGCUUCUCCUUGUUCUGCGAGUUGACGGGAUGCACCAAAGUAAUGCUAGUCCAUACUGCCUCCUUUUCGAUUAAUAUGACUUAAUUUUUUUGCGGGUAAAUGAGAUAGCUUUAGUCAUAUAUAAGCAUUCUUAGGACAAUCAGCCAAGAGGUUGGUCACUAGGAAGCCAGAUACUAUCCUGGAAAAAAAGGAAACGAGGUGUUUCAUCAAGCCAGCCCUCGGUCACAUUCAAAGUGCAAGCACGCUUCGCACAAAGAUGCGUCGGAAGGUUUGCUGACCUGUUGAUGCGUCCAUUUUGCAACAUGCUUUUAUAUCGAUAUUUAUUGCAUUAUGGGUUUCUUUUACACGUUAUGUCACAAUACUUAUGGCUAUUCUCUCUUAUUUUACAACGUUUACAUGAAGAGGGGGAAUGCCGGCAGCUGCGAUUCUGGGCUGGAAAAGGAGUAAAUAUUAGAGACCUAUUCUACACAGCUCCAAAAGUCCUGAAACUCCACGAAAGUCAUUUUGGGAAUUAAUAAAAAAUAUUGAGCGGAAGAAAUACCAGAGGGGGCCCACACCUUGGCCACGAGGGUGGGGGCGCACCCUACCCCCCCCCUCCUCCCCCUGGGCGCGCCCCCUGCCUCGUGGGCCACCUGGCAGCCCUCCGGUGCCCAUCUUUUGCUAUAUGAAGUCUUUUACCCUAGAAAAAGUAAUAAGCAAGCUUUCGGGAUGAAAAUCCGCCGCCACGAGGCGGAACCUUGGCGGAACCCAUCUAGGGCUCCGGCGGAGCUAUUCUACUGGGGGAAACUUCCCUCCUAGAGGGGUAAAUCAUCACCAUUGGCAUCACCAACGAUCCUCUCAUUGGGAGGGGCUCAAUCUCCAUCAACAUCUUCACCAGCACCAUCUCCUCUCAAACCCUAGUUCAUCUCUUGUAUCCAAUCUUUGUCCCAAAACCUCAGAUUGGUACCUACAGGUUUCUAGUAGUGUUGAUUACUCCUUGUAGUUGAUGCUAGUUGGUUUAUUCGGUGGAAGAUCAUAUGUCAGAUCAUUAAUGCAUAUUAAUACCCCUCUGAUUAUGAACAUGGAUAUGCUUUAUGAGUAGUUACGUUUGUUCUUGAGGACAUGGGUGAAGUCUUGCUAUUAGUAGCCAUGUGAAUUUGGUAUUCAUUCGAUAUUUUGAUGAGAUGCAUGUAUGUUGUCUCUCCUCUAGUGGUGUUAUGUGAACGUCGACUACAUGACACCUGUCACGCCCCGGAUUUGAUGCGUCAUGUGUCUGCCAGUUAUUCGCCGUCGUUGCCAUGUCAUUUGCUUGCAUGUUGCAUUUUAUCAUGUCAUCAUGUGCAUCUCGUUUUGCAUACGUGUUCGUCUCAUGCAUCCGAGCAUUUUCCCCGUUGUCCGUUUUGCAAUCCGGCGCUCCUAUGCCCUCCGGCGUCCCCCUUUUUGUCUCUCGUUGUGAGCGGGUGUUAAACGUUCUCGGAAUGGACCGUGAUUUGCCAAGUGGUCUUGGUAUAGAACCGGUAGACCGCCUGUCAAGUUUCGUGCCAUUUGGAGGUCGUUUGAUACUCCAACGGUUAACCGGGGAACCGUUAAAGCCUCUUUUGUCUUGCAGCCCAACACCCCUCCAAAGUGGCCCAAAACCCAUCCUAAUCCCCUCCAUGCUCUCGGUCGUUCGAUCACGAUCGCGUGGCCGAAAACCGCUCCUCAUUUGGACUCUCCUAGCUCCCUCUACCUAUAAAAAUGCCUCCCCCUUCGAAAUUUCGCAGUCCAAACCCCCGAAACCCUAGCCUCUUCCUCCUCUUGCCACCGGACGUGUCCACCCCGCGCGGACACGUCCAGCGCCGCCGCCCGCGCCCACUCCAGAGCUGCCACGUGGAGCUCUACCGCCCGCCGCCGCCGCGGCCCACGGAGCCCAUCCGGGGCCCGCACGGNNNNNNNNNNNNNNNNNNNNNNNNNNNNNNNNNNNNNNNNNNNNNNNNNNNNNNNNNNNNNNNNNNNNNNNNNNNNNNNNNNNNNNNNNNNNNNNNNNNNNNNNNNNNNNNNNNNNNNNNNNNNNNNNNNNNNNNNNNNNNNNNNNNNNNNNNNNNNNNNNNNNNNNNNNNNNNNNNNNNNNNNNNNNNNNNNNNNNNNNNNNNNNNNNNNNNNNNNNNNNNNNNNNNNNNNNNNNNNNNNNNNNNNNNNNNNNNNNNNNNNNNNNNNNNNNNNNNNNNNNNNNNNNNNNNNNNNNNNNNNNNNNNNNNNNNNNNNNNNNNNNNNNNNNNNNNNNNNNNNNNNNNNNNNNNNNNNNNNNNNNNNNNNNNNNNNNNNNNNNNNNNNNNNNNNNNNNNNNNNNNNNNNNNNNNNNNNNNCGCGGGCUCCACCCCGCGCCCUGCCGGCUUCCUCGCCUGCCGCCGACCCCGGCCUCCUUCGCCUCGCCGCCCCUGCCAUCUCCUGCGAGCCCGCCUCGCCUCGAAGUCCGUGCCGCCCGAUCCAGAUCUGAAACCACCGCCGUUGACUUUUCCCCGAGGUGGAUUUCUCUCCAAGUCCCCAUAGUUUUCAGCAUUUUGGUCACCUGUUCAUCGCAUCGUAACUCUCUGCAUACUACUCCGUUUACUGCGUGUAAUAUGUCAAAAUGUUCGCUGUGAGAUGCUCUACAUUUCAUUCCAUUGCACCAUGUUUAUUUGAGUGCAUCUUGAUGCCUGAAUCAUCGUUGCAAGAGUGCUAUAUGAUGUUAAUCUGCUGAAACUGUUAUAACUUGCUGAUUUGUUACUUUUGUUGCAUUUUGUGUGUGCAUCCUAUGAGGUUGAUCUCUACAUGUGUUUUGAACUACAUCAUGCCAUAUUUACAGGGGUGCUUGUCAUGCAUUUUUUUGAGUCUUUUAGUGAGUGCAUCAAGCUUGUUAAGUAGGGUACUUGUUGUUGCUGUUUUGCUAGGCUGAAUCUGUUAUUUGUGAUGCUAUGUAAACCUGCUGCUACAAGUCAUUCUAUGCAUAAUCUGGAGAUGUUCACUAAGGAUGUUUUGUUAUACAUGUCAUGCUAUAUCCAUCCAUGCCCCUGGUUGCAUUUAUAGCAUGCUGUAGCUUGUUGUAAUCUUGCUCCAAAGUUGCUAAAUAAUGUUGUUGUCGGCCUGUUAACAUGAAGUUCAGUUUUGCCAUGAGAUUUGCUAGUGAUCCAUGCACCCUAUGAACUUGUUCUUGCCAUGCUUAGCUUCACAGUCAUGUCUUCUUACUGUUGGUUGCCUUAUCAUGCCAUGUAAUGAUCUGUGGUGAGUGGUACAAGCUCACCAACAUGCCUACUUAUCGUUGUUCCUGCCAUGUUUGAACCUGUCAUAUCAUUUGCCAUGUUUACAUGGGUGCCAUCAUAUCUUCUGAUCCUUUUUGGCUCUUGGUCAGUAAAGGACUUUUGUUCUAUGAAAUUAGUAGAUUCAUGCCAUUCCUUUUUUUCCAUGUUAAGUUCUUGUAACAUGUUGUUUGAUAGCUCUAAACAUUGCAACCUGAUGUUAUUUGUGCAAAGUCUGAAACUGAUAUUAUUUGCAAGCUUGCCAUGUCUUUUUGAGCAUGUUCUAGUGAUUUCUGGAGAUAGCUCAGUGUUACUGUUUUGUUAUACUUUACAUGUACAUCAUGUCCAUGCCUUUUGUUUUCAUAUUGUGGUACUGUAGCAUGUUGUUUUCAUGCUUGCAAUAUGCCUAGUUACUGUUUUGGACAGAUUGUUGCUAUAACUUGUAUAGUGUGUGUGUUGAACCGUUGCUCCGUUUUGAGUGUGCUCUAUAUGAAACUUGCUUGAUUUUGCAUGUAGCUUCAUAUUAUCAUGUUGCCUCCUUGUUUUGAGGUGUUUGCUUGAUGUUUGCAUGCAUCUUGCAUCAAUGCCAUGCUUAACUUGUUUUGCUCAUAUAUUCUAGGCCGUAGCUCCGAAUUAAAUGAACUUUAUAUGUAACUUGACUAGAAUCUCGUGUAGAUCAUCUUGGUGCAUCUUAACUUGCUGUUUAACAACUUGAACAUAAGGUUUAUUCAGAUCUGGACCAAUUUCGAAAUUUGCAUAUGAGGACUUACCGGAAUUGUUAUAUGUUGUUCCCGACCUCAUUUAAACUUGCCUUGAUGUGUUGCUCUUGUUUGCAUCAUCUCUUGCCAUGAGGCUUCAUGUAGUCUUGUCAUGCAUCAUGCUUGGUUGUGCAUCAUGUCUUGUUCAUGUGUGGUGUGUUUACCAUGUUGUGUGCUUCUUCUCGAUAGUUCCCGUUUCGUUGCGAUCGUGAGGAUUCAUUCGUCUAUGCUUGGUUCAGCUUCAUCCGUUCGUAUUCUUCAUGGACUCGUUCUUCUUCCUUGCGGGAUUUCAGGCAAGAUGACCGCUACCCUGGAUCUCACUACUAUCAUUGCUAUGCUAGUUGCUUCGUUCUAUCGCUAUGCUGCGCUACCUAUCAAUUGUUCUUCAAGCCUCCCAAAUUGCCAUGUCAGCCUCUAACCUUUUCAUCCUUCCUAGCAAACCAUUGCUUGGCUAUGUUACCGCUUUGCUCAGCCCCUCUUAUAGCGUUGCUAGUUGCAGGUGAAGUUGAAGAUUGCCCCAUGACGGACAGGAUUAUGUUGGGAUAUCACAAUAUCUCUUAUUUAAUUAAUGCGUCUAUAUACUUGGUAAAGGGUGGAAGACUCGGCCUUAUGCCUGGUGUUUUGUUCCACGCUUGCCGCCCUAGUUUCCGUCAUACCGGUGUUAUGUUCCCGGAUUUUGCGUUCCUUACGCGGUUGGGUGAUUUAUGGGUCCCCCUUGACAGUUCGCUUUGAAUAAAACUCCUCCAGCAAGGCCCAACCUUGGUUUUACCAUUUGCCUCACCUAGCCCUUUUUCCCUUGGGUUUCCGGAGCCCGAGGGUCAUCUUUAUUUUAUCCCCCCCGGGCCAGUGCUCAUCGUGAGUGUUGGUCCAACCUGUCAGCCGCCGGUGGUCACCAGGGGCAACUCUGGGCUGGCCUACCGAAAGUUUGGACAAUCCGGUGUGCCCUGAGAACGAGAUAUGUGCAGCUCCUAUCGGGAUUUGUCGGCACAGCGGGCGAUUUUGCUGGUCUUGUUUUACCAUUGUCGGAAUGUCUUGUAAACCGGGAUUCCGAGUCUGAUCGGGUCUUCCUGGGAGAAGGUAUAUCCUUCGUUGAUUGCGAGAGCUUAUUAUGGGCUAAGUUGGGACACCCCUGCAGGGUAUAAACUUUCGAAAGCCGUGCCCGCGGUUAUGUGGCAGAUGGGAAUUUGUUAAUGUCUGGUUGUAGAUAACUUGACACCUGAUUCGAAUUAAAACGCAUCAACCGCGUGUGUACCCGUGAUGGUCUCUUCUCAGCGGAGUCCGGGAAGUGAACACAGUUUUUGGGUUAUGUUUGACGUAAGUAGGAGUCCAGGAUCACUUCUUGAUCAUUACUAGUUGACGACCGUUCCGCUUGCUCUCUUCUCACUCUUAUUUGCGUAUGUUAGCCACCAGAUAUGCUUAGUCGCUGCUGCAACCUCACCACCGUACCCCUUCCUUUCCCUUUAAGCUUUGCUAGUCUUGAUACCCAUGGUAAUGGGAUUGCUGAGUCCUCGUGGCUCACAGAUUACUUCAACAACAGUUGCAGGUACAGGUUACGCGAUGAUCAUGACGUGAGAGCGAUGUUACUUGUUUUGGAGUUCUUCUUCUAUUUCUUCUUCGAUCAGGGGAUAGGUUCCAGGUCGGCAGCCUGGGCUAGAAGGGUGGAUGUCGUUUGAGUUUCUGUUUGUGUUUCAUCCGUAGUCAGAUGAUGCUCUUAUGUAUUGUGAUAUUGUAUUCGUGUGGCAUUGUAUGCCUCUUGUAUGUAUCCCCAUCUAUUAUGUAAUGUUGAUGUAAUGAUAUCCACCUUGCAAAAGCGUUUCAAUAUGCGGUUCUAUCCUUGGUGGGACCUUCGAGUCUCUUUAGGAUAGUAUCGCAUAUUGGGCGUGACAACACCUCACCAUUAUUUGGGCCUAGAGUAAGGCAUUAGGAAGUAAUAAGUAGAUGAUGGGUUGCUAGAGUGACAGAAACUUAAACCCUAGUUUAUGAGUUGCUUCGUAAGGGGCUGAUUUGGAUCCAUAUGUUUCAUGCUAUGGUUAGGUUUACCUUAAUACUUCUUUUGUAGUUGCAGAUGCUUGCAAUAGGGGUUAAUCAUAAGUGGGAUGCUUGUCCAAGAAAGGGCAGUACCCAAGCACCAGUCCACCCACAUAUCAAAUUAUCAAAGUAACGAACGUGAAUCAUAUGAGCGUGAUGAAAACUAGCUUGACGAUAAUUCCCUUGUGUCCUCGGGAGCGCUUUUCUCUAUAUAAGAAUUUGUCCAGGCUUGUCCUUUGCUACAAAAAGGAUUGGGCCACCUUGCUGCACCUUAUUUACUUUCAUUGCUUGUUACUCGUUACAAAUUACCUUAUCACAAAACUAUCUGUUACCGAUAAUUUCAGUGCUUGCAGAGAAUACCUUACUGAAAACCGCUUGUCAUUUCCUUCUGCUCCUUGUUGGGUUCGACACUCUUACUUAUCGAAAGGACUACGAUAGAUCCCCUACACUUGUCGGUCAUCAAGACUCUUUUCUGGUGCUGUUGUCGGGGAGUGAAGUGCCUUUGGUAAGUGGAACAUGGUAAGGAAACAUUUAUAUAGUGUGCUGAAAUUUACUGUCACUUGUUACUAUGGAACAUAAUCCUUUGUGGGGCUUGCUUGGGGUAUCUUCACCCCGACCAGCAGAGCAAAGACUUGCUCCUCAAUCUACUGAACCUACUGAAAAUGUUAACUUUGAAAUUCCUUCGGGUAUGGUAGAGAAACUGCUGGCUAAUCCCUUUACAGGAGAUGGAACAUUGCAUCCCGAUUUAGACCUAAUCUAUGUGGAUGAAGUUUGUGGAUUAUUUAAGCUUGCAGGUAUGCCCGAUGAUGUUAUCAAGAAGAAGGUCUUCCCUUCAUGUUUGAAGGGAGAUGCAUUGACAUGGUAUAGGCUAUGUGAUGAUAUGGGAUCAUGGGACUACAAAUGAUUGAAAUUAGAAUUUCACCAGCAGUUUUAUCCUAUGCAUCUUGCUCAUCGUGAUCGUAAUUAUAUAUAUAAUUUUUGGCCUCGAGAAGGAGAAAGCAUCGCUCAAGCUUGGGGGAGGCUUAAGUCAAUGUUAUAUUCAUGCCCCAAUCAUGAGCUCUCAAGAGAAAUAAUUAUUCAAAAAAAUUUAUGCUCGGCUUUCCCUCAACAAUUGCUCCAUGCUCGAUACUUCUUGUGCUGGGUCUUUUAUGAUGAAGACUAUUGAAUUUAAAUGGGAUUUAUUGCAAAGAAUUAAACGCAACUCUCUGAAGAUUGGGAUUCCGGCGAAGGUAAGGAGUCAGGUAUAACACCUAAGUUUGAUUGUGUUAAAUCUUUUAUGGAUACCGAUGCUUUUCGUGGAUUUAGCACUAAAUGUGGACUUGACUCUGAGAUAGUAGCUUCUUUCUAUGAAUCAUUUGCUACUCAUGUUGACCUCCCUAAGGAGAAGUGGUUUAAAUAUAAUCCUCCUACUAAAGUAAAAGUAGUUGCACCUAUUACAGUUGAAGAAAAGACUAUCACUUAUAAUGAUCCUAUUGUUCCUUCCACUUAUAUUGAGAAACCACUUUUCCCUGUUAGGAUAAAGGAUCAUGCUAAAGCUUCAACUAUGGUUCGUAAGAGUAAUACUAAAACACCUACACCACCUGAGCAAAUUAAAGUUGAACCUAGUAUUGCUAUGGUUAAAUAUCUCUUGGCUAAUAAUAUUGAUGGGCAUGUUUAUUUACUUCUGUGAUGAAGCCGCUAGAAUUGCUAGACCAGAUAAUAAACAUAAACAUAGACCUGUUGUAGGCAUGCCUGUUAUUUCUGUUAAGAUAGGAGAUCAUUGUUAUCAUGGCUUAUGUGAUAUGGGUGCUAGUGCUAGUGCAAUACCUCAUUCCUUAUACAAUGAAAUUAUGCAUGAUAUUUCACCUGCUGAGAUAGAAGAAAUAGAUGUUACAAUUAAGCUUGCCAAUAGAGAUACUAUUUCACCAAUUGGGAUUGUUAGAGAUGUUGAAGUCUUGUGUGGGAAAGUUAAAUAUCCUGCUGAUUUUCUUGUUUUUGGUUCCCCACAAGAUGACUUUUGUCCCAUUAUAUUUUGUAGACCCUUCUUGAAUAAUGUUAAUGCUAAGAUAGAUUGCGAAAAGGAUGUUGUUACUAUUAGUUUGGGAGAUAUAUCUCAUGAGUUUAACUUUGCUAAAUUUCGUAGACAACCCCUUGAUAAAGAAUUGCCUAGUAAAGAUGAAAAUAUUGGUCUUGCUUCUAUUGCCGCUCCUCCUAAUGAUCCUUUAGAACAAUAUUUGCUAGACCAUGAAAAUGAUAUGUUCAUGAAUGAAACAAGGGAUGUAGAUGAAGUAUUCUUUAAACAGGGACCUAUUUUGAAACACAACUUGCCUGUUGAAAUCCUAGGGGAUCCUCCACCACCUAAGGGUGAUCCCGUGUUUGAGCUUAAACCAUUACCUGAUACUCUUAAAUAUGCUAUCUUGAUGAAAAGAAGAUAUAUCAUGUUAUUAUUAGUGCUAACCUUUCAUAGCAGGAAGACGAAAGAUUAUUGAAAACUCUGAAGAAGCACCAUGCUGCUAUUGGAUAUACUCUUGAUGAUCUUAAGGGCAUUAGUCCCACUCUAUGCCACACAAAAUAAAAUUGGAGGAAGAUGCCAAACCAGUUAUUGAUCAUCAACGACGGUUAAAUCCUAAGAUGAAAGAAGUGGUAAGAAAGGAAAUACUAAAGCUCCUUGAGGCAGGUAUAAUUUAUCCCGUUGCUGAUAGUCAGUGGGUAAGUCAUGUCCAUUGUGUCCCUAAGAAGGGAGGUAUUACUGUCGUUCCUAAUGAUAAAGAUGAAUUGAUCCCGCAAAGAAUUAUUACAGGUUAUAGGAUGGUAAUUGAUUUCCACAAAUUAAAUAAAGCUACUAAAAAAGAUCAUUACCCUUUACCUUUUAUUGAUCAAAUGCUAGAAAGAUUAUCCAAACAUACACAUUUUUGCUUUCUAGAUGGUUACUCUAGUUUCUCUCAAAUACCUGUGUCAGCAGAGGAUCAAGAAAAGACCACUUUUACUUGCCCUUUCGGUACUUUUGCUUAUAGACGUAUGCCUUUUGGUUUAUGUGAUGCACCUGCUACCUUUCAAAGAUGCAUGAUGGCUAUAUUCUCUGACUUCUGUGAAAAGAUUUGUGAGGUUUUCAUGGAUGAUUUCUCCGUGUAUGGGUCUUAUUUUGAUGAUUGCUUGAGAAACCUUGAUCGAGUUUUGCAGAGAUGUGAAGAUACUAGUCUCGUCUUGAAUUGGGAGAAGUGCCACUUUAUGGUUAAUGAAGGUAUUGUCUUGGGGCAUAAAAUUUAUGAAAGAGGUAUUGAAGUUAAUAAAGGUAAGGCUGAUGCUAUUGAAAAAUGACAUGUCCCAAGGACAUUAAAGGUAUAAGAAGUUUCCUUGGUCAUGCCGGUUUUUAUAGGAGGUUCAUUAAGGACUUUUCUAAAAUCUUUAGGCCUCUGACUAAUCUAUUACAAAAAGAUAUUCCUUUUGUCUUCGAUGAUGAUUGUGUAGAAGCAUUUGAAAUACUUAAGAAAGCUUUGAUUUCUGCACCUAUCAUUCAGCCACCUGAUUGGAAUUUACCCUUUGAAAUUAUGUGUGAUGCUAGUGAUUAUGUUGUAGGUGUUGUUCUACGACAAAGAGUUGAUAAGAAACUAAAUGUUAUUCAACAUGCUAGUAAAACUCUAGACAGUGCUCAGAGAAAUUAUGCUACUACUGAAAAAGAAUUUUUAGCAGUUGUAUUUGCUUGUGAUAAGUUCUUUCACGCCCAAGAUGCGACCCUAUCCUAAAGGAACUCGAAGGUCCCACCAAGGAUAGAAGCGCAUCUUGAAGACGCUUUUGCAAGGUGGAUAUCAUUACAUUAACAUUACAUAAUAGAUGGGGAUACAUACAAAAGGCAUACAAUGCCACAUGAAUACAACAUCAUCUUACAUAAGAGCACCAUCCGAAUACGGAUGAAACACAAACAGAAACUCAAACGACAUCCACCCUGCUAGCCCAAGCUGCCAACCUGGAACCUAUCCUCUGAUCGAAGAAGCAGAAGAAGAACUCCAAAACAAGUAAACAUCGCUCUCGCGUCAUGAUCAUCGCAUAACCUGUACCUGCAACUAUUGUUGUAGUAAUCUAUGAGCCACGAGGACUCAGCAAUCCCAUUACCAUGGGUAUCAAGACUAGUGAAGCUUAAAGGGAAAGGAAGGGGUAAAGUGGUGAGGUUGCAGCAGCGACUAAGCAUAUAUGGUGGCUAACAUACGCAAAUAAGAGCGAGAAGAGAGCAAGCGGAACGGUCGUGAAGCUAGCAAUGAUCAAGAAGUGAUCCUGAACUCCUACUUAUGUCAAACAUAACCCAAAACCGUGUUCACUUCCCGGACUCCGCCGAAAAGAGACCAUCACGGCUACACACACGGCUGAUGCGUUUUAAUUCGAAUCUUGUGUCAAGUUAUCUACAACUGGACAUUAACAAAUUCCCAUCUACCGCAUAACCACGGGCACGGCUUUCGAAAGUUUAUACCCUGUAGGGGUGUCCCAACUUAGCCCAUGAUAAGCUCUCGCGAUCAACGAAGGAUAUACCUUCUCCCAGGAAGACCCGAUCAGACUCGGAAUCCCGGUUUACAAGACAUUUCGACAAUGGUAAAACAAGACCAGCAAGACCACCCGAUGCGCCGACAAAUCCCGAUAGGAGAUGCACAUAUCUUGUUCUCAGGGCACACCGGAUGAGCAAGACGAUGGGUUGGCAUAGACCCUGGUUGCCCAGGGGGCGCCGGACAUCGCUCGGUUUGGACCAACACUUAGACAAGCAUUGGCCCGGGGGGGGGGGCUAAAAUAAAGAUGACCCUCGGGUUAAUUACUCCCAAGGGAAAUGUAGGUGAUGGUGAGGCAAAUGGUAAAACCAAGGUUGGGCCUUGCUGGAGGAGUUUUAUUCAAAGCGAACUGUCAAGGGGGUCCCAUAAAUCACCCAACCGCGUAAGGAACGCAAAAUCCAGGAACAUAACACCGGUAAGAGUGGAACAAAACACCAGGCAUAAGGCCGAGCCUUCCACCCUUUACCAAGUAUAUAGAUGCAUUAAUUAAAUAAGAGAUAUUGUGAUAUCCCAACAUAAUCCUAUCCACCAUGGAGCAAUCUUCAACUUCACCUGCAACUAACAAUGCUAUAAGAGGGGCUGAGCAAAAGCGGUAACAUAGCCAAGCAAAGGUUUGCUAGGAAGGGUGUCAAAGGUUAGAGGUUCAUGGCAAUUUGGGAGGCUUGAUGAGCAAAAGAUAGGUAGCGCAACAAAGCGAUAGAACGAAGCAACUAGCAUAGCAAUGAUAGUAGUGAGAUCCAGGGUAGCGGUCAUCUUGCCUGAAAUCCCGCAAGGAAGAAGAACGAGUCCAUGAAGAAGACGAACGGAUGAAGACGAUCCAAGCGUAGACGAACGAAUCCUCACGAUCGCAACGAAAUAGGAACUAACAAGAAGAAGCACACAACAUGGUAAACACACCACACAUAGACAAGACAUGAUGCACAACAAGCAUGAUGCAAGACAAGACUACAUGAAGCUACUCAUGGCAAUAGAUGAUGCAAACAAGAACAACACAUCAAGGCAAGUUUAAAUGAGGCCGGGAACAACAUAUAACAAUUCCGGUAAGUCCUCAUAUGCAAGUUUCGAAAUUGGUCCAGAUCUGAAUAAACAUUAUGUUCAAGUUGUUAAACAGCAAGUUAAGUUGCACCAAGAUGAUCUACACGAGAUUCUAGUCAAGUUACAUAUAAAGUUCAUUUAGUUCAGAGCUACGGUGUAGAAGAUAUGAGCAAAACAAGUUAAACAUGGCAUUGAUGCAAAAUGCAUACAGACAUCAAGCAAACACCUCAAAACAUGGAUGCAACAUGAUAAUAUGAAACUACAUGCAAUUCUAAGCAAGUUUCAUAUAGAGCACACUCAAAACGGAGCAACAGUUCAACACACAUGACACAAGUUAUAGCAACAACCUGUCCAAAACAGCAACUAGGCAUAUUGCAAGCAUUAAAACAACAUGCUACAGCACCCCAACAUGAGAACAAAAGGCAUGGACGUGAUGUACAGGUAAAGAAUUACAAAACAUGAACACUGAGCUAUCUCCAGAAAACACUAGAACAUGCUCCAAAACACAUGGCAAGAUUGCAUAUAAUAACAGUUUCAGACUUUGCAGAAAUAACAUCAGGUUGCAAUGUUUAGAGCUAUCAAACAACAUGUUACAGGAACUUAUCAUGGUAAACAAAGGCACGACAUGAAUCUAGUAAUUGCAUAGAACAAAAGUCCUUUACUGACCAUGAGCCAAAAAGGAUCAGAAGAUAUGAUGGCACCCAAGUAAACAUGGCAAGUUAUAUGACAGAUUCAUACAUGGCAGGAACAACGAUGCGUAGGCAUAUUGGUGAGCUUGUACCACUCACCACAGAGCACUACAUGGCAUGACAAGGCAACCAACAGUAUUAUGAAGCUAAGCAUGGCAAGAGCAAGUUCAUAGCAUGCUUGGAUCACUAACAACAAUCAUGGCAACAUUGAACUUAAUGUUAACAGGCUGACAGCAACAUUAUUUAGCAACUUUGGAGCAAGAAUACAAAAAGUUACAGCAAGCUAUAAAUGGAACCAGCGGCAUGAUGGAUAGAGCAUGACAUGUAUAACAAAACAUCCUUAGUGAACAUCUCCAGAUUAUGCAUGGAAUGACUUGUAGAAGCAUGUUUACAUAGCAUCACCAAAUAACAGAUUCAGCCUAGCAAAACAGUAACAGCAAGUACACUACUUCAAGAGCUCGAUUCACUCACCACAAGUCAUUGCAUGACAAGAUAAGCAUAUAAUCAGCAAGAAUACAUGUUUAUGAAACUAACCAAGGCAAGAACAAGUUCAUAGCAUGCAAGGAUCAACUACAACAACCUUGGCAAAAUUGAAUAACAUGUAAACAAUCUGCCAGGAAACAUUUUAUAGCAAAAGUAGAGCAAGAAAAUGACAUGCUAGACUACUCCAUAAUUGCAAACAGGGGCAUGAACGGAUAGAUAAUAACCAUAUGUUCAAAACAUCCUUACUGAAGUAUCUCAAAAUAUGCUUGGAUCUCUCUGUAGCAUCAAGUUUACAUGGCAUAAAAAUAACAGCAGAACAGGGACUGAAAUCAGCAACAUCACGAAGCUAGUUUGCAUGCCUGUUCUAGUCACCACAUUGAUCACAAAAAUGCAUGGCGUACACCACUGUAAAGAUGGAAUGAUGUAUCACAAAACACAUGUAGAGCUCAUGCUCAUAGGAUGCACACAUCAAAUGCAACAAAAAUAACAAAUCAUCAAGUUAUAACAGUUUCAGCAGAUUAACAUCAUAUUGCACUCUUGCAAUGAAGAUUCAGGCAUCAAGGUGAACUCAAAUGAACAUGGAGAAAUGGAAUGAAAUGAAGAGCAUCUCUAAACGAACAUUUUGACAUAUUACACGCACAAAACAGAGCUACAUGCACAGAGUUAUGAUGCGUUGAACAGGGGACCAAAAUGCAAAUAUUUUCGGGACUUAGACGAAAAUCACCUCCGGAUCUGAGGGUUGACCCGGGCGCGGAUGACGAGGACGGUCGGGGUUCUCGCCGGAGUUGGGGGGAAAGGCGCCGACGGCCGGAGAAGUCGCGGACGGGGCCGGGGAGGCCGGAUCCGGCGGCGGCGGGGUCGAGGGUCGCCGGAGGAGGCGGCACCGGCGGGCACCGGCGNNNNNNNNNNNNNNNNNNNNNNNNNNNNNNNNNNNNNNNNNNNNNNNNNNNNNNNNNNNNNNNNNNNNNNNNNNNNNNNNNNNNNNNNNNNNNNNNNNNNNNNNNNNNNNNNNNNNNNNNNNNNNNNNNNNNNNNNNNNNNNNNNNNNNNNNNNNNNNNNNNNNNNNNNNNNNNNNNNNNNNNNNNNNNNNNNNNNNNNNNNNNNNNNNNNNNNNNNNNNNNNNNNNNNNNNNNNNNNNNNNNNNNNNNNNNNNNNNNNNNNNNNNNNNNNNNNNNNNNNNNNNNNNNNNNNNNNNNNNNNNNNNNNNNNNNNNNNNNNNNNNNNNNNNNNNNNNNNNNNNNNNNNNNNNNNNNNNNNNNNNNNNNNNNNNNNNNNNNNNNNNNNNNNNNNNNNNNNNNNNNNNNNNNNNNNNNNNNNNNNNNNNNNNNNNNNNNNNNNNNNNNNNNNNNNNNNNNNNNNNNNNNNNNNNNNNNNGAAGGCGCGGGCCGGGCGGCGGCGGUGCGCGCGGGCCGGGAGGCAGGGGAGACGUGUGGCAGUGCCGGAUUGGCCGAGGAGGCGGCGCGGACGUGUCCGGCAGCGGGGUGGACGCGUCCGGCGGUGGGAGGAGCAGGGCUAGGGUUAGGGGAAGAAUUCAUCCGCGAAUUUCGGGGGAGGGCACAUAUUUAUAGAUUGUGGGAGCUAGGAGAGUCCAAAUAAGGUGAGGUUUUCGCCCACAUGAUCGUGAUCGAACGAUCGAGAGCAUGGAGGGGAGUUAGAUGGGUUUUGGGACACUUUGGAGGGGUGUUGGGCUGCAAAGAGAAGGGGGUUUUGGGCUAUGCGGUUAACCGUUGGAGUAUCAAACGACCUCCAAAUGGCACGAAACUUGACAGGCGGUCUACCAGUGCUAUACCAAGGCCGCUUGGCAAGACUCGGUCCAUUCUGAGAACGUUUAACACCCGCUCACGAAGAGAGGCAAGAAGGGGACGCCGGAUGACAUAGGAGUGUUGGAUCGCAAAACGGACAACGGGGAAAAUGCUCGGAUGCAUGAGACGAACACAUAUGCAAAAUGAGAUGCACAUGAUGACAUGAUAAAAUGCAACACGCAAGCACAUGACAUGGCAACGAUGGCAAAUAACUGGCAGACACCUGGCGCAUCGGAUCCGGGGCGUUACAAGUUCAGACCUUAUAUUAUUGAUUCUAAAGUAACUGUUCACACUGACCAUGCUGCUAUUAAAUAUCUUAUGGAAAAAAAGAUGCUAAACCUAGACUUAUUAGAUGGGUUCUCCUACUACAAGAAUUUGAUUUGCAUAUUAUCGAGAGAAAGGGAGCUGAGAACCCCGUUGCAGACAACCUGUCUAGGUUAGAGAAUGUUCUUGAUGACCCACUACCUAUUAAUGAUAGCUUUCCUGAUGAGAAAUUAGCUGUCAUAAAUGCUUCUCGUACUGCUCCUUGGUAUGCUGAUUAUGCUAAUUACAUCGUUGCUAAAUUUAUACCACCUAGUUUCACAUACCAGCAAAAGAAAAAGUGUUUCUAUGAUUUAAGACAUUACUUCUGGGAUGACCCACACCUUUAUAAAGAAGGAGUAGACAAUGUUAUUAGACGUUGUGUACCUGAGCAUGAAUAGGAACAGAUUCUACGCAAGUGUCACUCCGAGGCAUAUGGAGGACACCACGCUGGAGAUAGAACUGCACAUAAGGUAUUGCAAUCCGGUUUUUAUUAGCCUACUCUCUUCAAAGAUGCCUGUAAGUUUGUCUUGUCUUGUGAUGAAUGUCAAAGAAUUGGUAAUAUCAGUAGACGUCAAGAAAUGCCUAUGAAUUAUUCUCUUGUUAUUGAACCAUUUGAUGUUUGGGGCUUUGAUUAUAUGGGACUGUUUCCUGCCUCUAAUGGGCAUACACAUAUUUUAGUUGCUGUUGAUUAUGUUACUAAGUGGGUAGAAACUAUUCCAACUAGUACUGUUGAUCAUAACACCUCUAUUAAGAUGCUUAAAGAAGUUAUUUUUCCGAGGUUUGGAGUCCCUAGAUACUUAAUGAUUGAUGGUGGUUCACAUUUUAUUCAUGGUGCUUUUUGAAAAAUGCUUGCUAAGUAUGAUGUUAAUCAUAGAAUUGCAUCUCCAUAUCACCCGCAGUCUAGUGGUCAGGUAGAAUUGAGUAAUAAAGAGCUCAAGUUAAUUUUGCAAAAGACUGUUAAUAGAUCUAGAAAGAAUUGGUCUAAGAAACUUGAUGAUGCAUUAUGGGCUUAUAGAACUGCAUAUAAGAAUCCUAUGGGUAUGUCUCCAUGUAAAAUGGUUUAUGGAAAAGCAUGUCACUUACCUCUCGAACUAGAACAUCAGGCAUAUUGGGCCAUUAAAGAGCUCAAUUAUGAUUUCAAACUUGUCGAUGAGAAGAGGUUAUUUGACAUAAGUUCACUUGAUGAAUGGAGAACCCAAGCGUAUGAGAAUGCCAAAGUAUUUAAAGAAAAAUUAAAAGAUGGCAUGACAAAAGGAUACAAAAGCGUGAGUUUAAUGUAGGUGAUUAUGUGUUGCUUUUCAACUCUCGUUUAAGAUUUUUCGUAGGAAAGCUCCUCUCUAAAUGGGAAGGCCCUUAUGUUAUCGAGGAGGUUUAUCGUUUCGGUGCCAUAAAAAUCAACAACUUCGAAGGCACAAAUCUAAAGGUGGUGAACGGUCAAAGAAUCAAACAUUAUAUCUCAGGUAAUCCUAUAAUUGUUUAAACCAAUGUUACUGAAAUCGUAUCCCCGAAGGAAUACAUAAGGGACACUUUCCAGAACGUUUCAGACUCCGAAAAGGAAUAGGUAUGUGGUACGGUAAGUAAACCGACUCCAAAACAGUUCUAAUAGCAAUUUUUCUCUGCUUUGGAAUAUUUAAGAAAAUAGGGAAAUAAGAAGUAGUCCGAAAGGGACACGAGGCGUCCACGAGGGUGGAAGGCACGCCCUACCCCCGUGGGCACGCCCCCCUGCCUCAUGGGCACCUUGUGUGCUCUCCAGACUCUGUUUUCUUGCAUGAUACUUCUUUUGGUCGGUAAAGAUUCAUUAUAUAAUCUCCCGAGGGUUUUGGCCACCCUAUCACGCAAAAAUCCUCUGUUUUUGUCUUGAGUUGCUUCUGCUGCAGAAUAGAGCAAUAUGUCAUCCCAGGAUUCGGAGGGAGAAAGCUAUGUGGCUGAUUACCUUGCAGAGCCUAAGGCCUACGGGGACUUGGAGCAUUAUGGCUGGACCAUUGAGGAAGAAGAAGACUACGAGCCUAAGGGAAAGGAGGAGACGAGCUCAGAUGAAUAUGAAGUCCCAUUACCUCAACCUGGUGACAUGCAUGUGGAGUUUAAAAAGUCAAGCCUCCCCGAUAGAGCAAAGAAACCAAAGAUCGAGUCUAUCCCUUUUCGUCUCUUGCAGGAAAACAAACAGGAACUAUGCAAAAGGAUAUUAAGCCUUGAGCAAUAGAUCGAUGAUCUAAGGGAGCAAAAUUCCAUCCUCAAGCGCAAAUUGAGGAAGAAGCAUACAUCAUCAACAACUCCAUCAUCACCACUUCCGAAGAGGGAGACCUAAACACAUGGGUAUGGGCACUCCCCUUGGCAAAUGCCAAGCUUGGGGGAGGUGCCCUGGUAUCGUAUCACCAUCACACUCCUAUCUUUACAGUUUUUCUUAGUUCGAUCCUUUUGGUAAUAUCUUGAUCUAGUAGAAUAAAGUUUUGGUAUGAUUUAGUUUUGAGUUUUGCUUUAUGAUCCCUCUACGUAAUCGAGUCCGUGAGCUAUAUAUAAUAAAGAUUAGUGUUGAGUCAAGGGCUUUGCUAUCUUGCUAUGAUCUUGAGGAAAUAAAAGAAUAAAAAGAAAUAAAGAGAUCAUAUUGAUCUUAUGGAGAGUAAUGACUUCACACAUAAAGAGUAUGAUGCAUAAAAGUUGUGGAGAGUUGGCAAACAUAGUUUUGGUCAUCGUUGCAAUUAAUAGGAAGUAAUAAAGAAAGAGAGGUUCUCACAUAUAAAUAUACUAUCUUGGACAUCUUUUAUGAUUGUGAGCACUCAUUAAAGUAUGACAUGCUAAAGAGUUGAUGUUGGACAAGGAAGACAACGUAAUGGGUUAUGUUUUCUCAUAUCUGAAUUAAAGUAUAUUGUCAUGGAUCGUCCAACAUGUUGAGCUUGCCUUUCCCCCUCAUGCUAGACAAAUUUCUUGCACCAAGUAGAGAUACUACUUGUGCUUCUAAAUAUCCUUAAACAUAGUUUUGCCAUGAGAAUCCACCAUAUCUACCUAUGGAUUGAGUAAGAUCCUUCAAGUAAGUUGUCAUGUUGCAUGCAACAAAAAUUGCUCUCUAAAUAUGUAUGACUUAUUAGUGUGGAGAAAAUAAGCUUUAUACAAUCUUGUGAUAUGGAAGCAAUAAAAGCGACGGACUGCAUAAUAAAGGUUCAUAUCACAAGUGGCAAUAUAAAGUGACAUUCCUUUGCAUUAAGAUUUCGUGCAUCCAACCAUAAAAGCACAUGACAACCUCUGCUUCCCUCUACGAAGGGCCUAUCUUUUACUUCUGUCUUUUACAUUAUGCAAGAGUCAUGGUGAUCUUCAUCUUUCCUUUUUAUUUUAUCCCUUGGCAAGCACAUCGUGUUGGAAAGAUCAUGAUAUAUAUAUAUAUAUAUAUAUAUAUAUCCAAUUGGAUGUAAGUUAGCACGAACUAUUAUGAUAACACCCCUAAGAGACUUAUUCUGCACAUCGGUUUCUUAUCCUGCACACACACCCGAAACACACAAACUAGACCCACCACUCCUCCCAUGACCCCUCGACCCACCAAUCUUCAAACUCCACCCCCGACUAGAGCCGGCGCCCCAUCCCACCACGACCUUCCCCGCCGCCCACCACCACCACCUUCCCCCAGCCCCGCACACCACCACCACCUUCCCCGCCNNNNNNNNNNNNNNNNNNNNNNNNNNNNNNNNNNNNNNNNNNNNNNNNNNNNNNNNNNNNNNNNNNNNNNNNNNNNNNNNNNNNNNNNNNNNNNNNNNNNNNNNNNNNNNNNNNNNNNNNNNNNNNNNNNNNNNNNNNNNNNNNNNNNNNNNNNNNNNNNNNNNNNNNNNNNNNNNNNNNNNNNNNNNNNNNNNNNNNNNNNNNNNNNNNNNNNNNNNNNNNNNNNNNNNNNNNNNNNNNNNNNNNNNNNNNNNNNNNNNNNNNNNNNNNNNNNNNNNNNNNNNNNNNNNNNNNNNNNNNNNNNNNNNNNNNNNNNNNNCCUCCUUUGCGCGGGAUCCUCGGGCCUCCACCCACCCCCGACCCUCCUGCGCGUCGGUGGAUCCGCCAUCUUUGACCACGGGCCGACCUCCUCUAUAGACCGGCCACCAAGCCAUCGGGCUCGCGCCGCCCUCCUGGUCGGCCGUCUUCCAGAGGCUCGAUGACACGCCGCCGAACCGGCCACUGCCUCUGGCUAGGAUAAGGUCGUCGUGAUCUUGUCCCUCCUCCCCCUCAAUUUCCGCAUGAUCCAUCGUGCAGGAACCACCCCCGCCGCCUUCUUCGCACCUCCGCGCCCGCCCAUCCCUGGAGGCCGCGCUACCGCGCCGGUGAACACCACCUCCCAGCGACCAAUUUAUCCCCUCUCAAAAAGGUGGUCAAAUCCAUGGAGGCGAGGUCGCCAUUCCCCUUCGCAGUCCACGUCGUGUACCCGAGCGGUUCAAUUCAUGGGUGCAUGCAGCCCGCUGCUGCAGUUUUUGUGCGAUGCAGUUGGAUUGCAUGCAGCACACCUUCGGCGUGCAGUUCGCCUGCGCCAGGGCAUGCAGCUCUGGCCACGGGCAUAUGCAGUACGCGACGACUAGCAUGUAUACUUGGUUUAGGGAGCAAAACAUCAGCGUUGUUCGGUGUUUUUUGCUGUAGUUUGCUACUCUCAUUUGUAUCACUUUACACCUUUUUAAUGGGAAUCUUCGGUAGUAUUCUAACUCUGUUCUUGCUAUCCAGUUUACCUGUUUUUGCAGGAGAUGGGGGUACAAGGAGAGAGAGACAUGAGUCUUGAACAUAUAAUGUGUGAGCAAUUCGGUUCGCCGGUGAUUUGCAGUAUUUUGAAUGGUAUCGCUCUAGUUCACAUUGCCCCAUGGUCUACUCCGGUGGCCUGCUUUGGCCGCCAUCACCGUGUUGCAGUUUUGCUACGACAUGUGAUUCAACAGCGCCACUAUGGUCACGUGGCAAGGAUGACUACACACUAAGAGGAGGUGGUGUUUGCGAACAAUUAGAGGCCCAAUUCAUUUUUGAAAAAUUUGUUUGAGACUUGUUAUGUAAACUACAGAAGCUUGUUUGUAAAAUAGUUACCCUAAUGCAGUUCGUUGUAAAUCCUGAAGUGGCUCAUUUUGUAGGCAAGUAAGAGAAAAUAUUCACGCAGAGGUUCACUUCUUUUUCACAUGUGAUUUUCUUCAUAUAUGGACUCAAAACACAAAUAGGUAAAGACCUCGUAACUCAUUAACAUCACCUGCAGUGCGUUUAGUGCUCGGAUGUGGUUUACUUUUGAGAGUGAUGUUGUUCACUUGAGCUCAACAUGAAAUUGCGAAAAAAUAGCGAUAAAACAAGAUAGUAAUGUGGUUCACUUGAUAUAUGUUGCAGUUCACUUUUCUUCGUCUAUGCGGUACACUCUCGUUCAUAAAAAAAGAAAAAAAGAAAAAACAACAAAAACUCGUCUACAAAAAUUUACAUCCGACAAAAAAAAUCAUGAAGCUCGCUUGCCCGUUUGAUGCAGUACAAUUUUCAGUCUCAAGCAGUGCGGUUUUCUGUUUGAUGCAGUAUGCCCGUCGAUUUUGGUGUCACGAAAAACAGAGUGUCCGCAUUUCGGUAAAUUCAAAAUUCCUCUUAAACUGUAAGGAAUGAGAGAGAUUGUUCUACAUGAAAAAGUUGUGCCUCAUAGAUAUCUUUCCAACGACAUAUCGCUUGAAUCAUUCCGACCGGCGGUUUGUAAAAAUUCGUGAAAAACGGCCGCUGCCACUUAUCGCCCGCCACACGAUUUUCAAAAUUAACUUAAAACCGUAAGAAAUCUCAAAAACAUUUCAACAUAUGAAAGUUGCGCCUCGUCCAUAGAUUUUCAACGGUAUAUUACACGUAUCGUUUCGACAAACGGUUAAAAAACUGGAGCGAAAACAGUACCUAAAAUUUGAUUUUUUUUUAAACAUAAUUCCGCUAUUUAGUAAAUUUGAAACUGCUCUUAAACCGUAAUGAAUUAGAGAAAAUGAUAGAUAUGAAAAAGAUGCGUCUCGACGAUAUCUUUCCAAUGGUGUAUCAUUUGCUUCAUUUCGCCAAGCGGUUUAGAAGAAAUCGCGAAAAAACGCUCGCUGCCACUCGUCAUGGGCCGCAUCAUUUUCAGAACUUUUCUUAAACCGUGUCGAAUCUCGAAAAGUCUUUAACAUGUCGAAGUUGUGCCUAAUCCAUAGCUUUUCAACGGUAUAUUACACGCCUCAUUCCGAUAAACAGUUAAAAAACUAGAGCGAAAACAGUACCGAAAAAACAACGCUUGCAGUUUUUUCCGACGAGAAGUUCACUCGGGUGAGUACUGCAGCACACUUGGUUGAAAGAAUGACGUUCUUGCUACGUCUUGAGCUUGCGUUGGUUUUCCUUGAAGAGGAAAGGGUGAUGCAGCACAGUAGCAUAACUAUUUCCCUCAGUUUUUGAGAACCAAGGUAUCAAUCCAGUAGGAGGCUCCUCACAAGUCCCACGAACCUACACAAACAAACAAAGAACUCGCAACCAACGCGAUAAAGUGGUUGUCAAUCCCUUCACAGCCACUUACGAAAGUGAGAUCUGAUAGAGAUAAUAUGAUAAGAUAAAUAUAUUUUUGGUAUUUUAUAAUAUAGAUGCAGAAAAUAAAGAUGCAAAUAAAAGUAGAUUGGAAACUUAUAUGAUAAAAGAUAGACCCGAGGGGCAUAGGUUUCACUAGAGGCUUCUCUCAAGAUAGCAUAAGUAUUACGGUGGGUGAACAAAUUACUGUCGAGCAAUUGAUAGAAAAGCGAAUAAUUAUGAUGUUAUCUAGGCAUGAUCAUGUAUAUAGGCAUCACGCCCGCAACAAGUAGACCGACUCCUGCCUGCAUCUACUACUAUUACUCCACACAUCAACCGCUAUCCAGCAUGCAUCUAGAGUAUUAAGUUCAUAAGAAUAGAGUAACACAUUAAGAAAGAUGUCAUAAUGUAGAGGGAUAAACUCAAGCAAUAUUAUAUAAACCCCAUCUUUUUAUCCUCGAUGGCAACAAUACAAUACGUGUCUUGCAACCCUUUCUGUCACUGGGUAAGAACACCGCAAGAUUGAACCCAAAGCUAAGCACUUCUCCCAUGGCAAGAAAGAUCAAUCUAGUAGGCCAAACCAAACUAAUAAUUUGAAGAGACUUGCAAAGAUAACUCAAUCAUACAUAAAAGAAUUCAGAGAAGAUUCAAAUAUUAUUCAUAGAUAAACUUGAUCAUAAACCCACAAUUCAUCGGAUCUCGACAAACAUAUCACAAAAAGAGAUUACAUCAAAUAGAUCUCCACAAGAGAGGGGGAGAUCAUUGUAUUGAGAUCCAAAAAGAGAGAAGAAGUCAACUAGCUAAUAACCAUGGACCCGAAGGUCCGUGGUAAACUACUCACAACUCAUUGGAGGGGCUAUGGUGUUGAUGUAGAAGCCCUCCGUGGUGGAUUACCCCUCCGGCAGAACGUCGACAACGGCUCCAAGAUGGGAUCUCGCGGAUACAGAAGGUUACGGUGGUGGAAAUAUUUCUUUGGUGGCUCCCUGGAUGUUUUGGGGGUAUGUAGGCUUAUAUAGGAGGAAGAAGUACGUCGGUGGCCGCCCGAGGGUCCCACGAGACAGGGCGGCGUGCCCUGUAGGGGUGGGCGCGCCCCCACCCUCGUGGAUGCCUUCGCUGCUUCUUGACUUGCACUUCAAGUCCUCUGGAUCAUGUUCGUUCCAAAAAUCACGCUCCCGAAGGUUUCAUUCCGUUUGGACUCCGUUUGAUAUUCCUUUUCUUCGAAAUACUGAAAUAAGCAAAAAAACAGCAAUACGGGCUGGGCCUCCGGUUAGUAGGUUAGUCCCAAAAAUGAUAUAAUUGUGUAAAAUAAAGCUCAUAGACAUCCAAAACAGGUAAUAUAAUAGCAUGGAACAAUCAAAAAUUAUAGAUACGUUGAAGACCUAUCAAGCAUCCCCAAGCUUAAUUCCUGCUCGUCCUCGAGUAGGUAAAUGAUAAUAACAGAUUUUUUGAUGUGGAAUGCUACCUAGCAUAAUUUCUCAAUGUAAUUUCUCUUUAUUGUGGCAUGAAUGUUCAGAUCCAAGUGAUUCAAAAUAAAAGUUCAUAUUGAAGAAAGAAAUAGCAAUACUUCAAGCAUACUAAUAAAAGCAAUCAUGUCUUCUCAAAAUAACAUGGCUAAAGAAAGUUCAUCCCUACAAAAUCAUAUAGUUAGGCUAUGCUUCAUUUUCUUCACACAAAGAUGUUCCCAACUUCUAUACCCCCGAUGACAAGCCAAGCAAUUGUUUCGUACUUAAAUAAUCUUAAACUUUUUCAACCUUCACACAAUACAUGAGCGUGAGCCAUGGAUAUAGCACUAUGGGUGGAAUAGAAUAAUGAUUGGGGAUUGUGUGGAGAAGACAAAAAAAGGAGAAAGUCUCACAAUGAUGAGGAUAAUCAACGGGCUAUGGGAAUGCCCAUCAACUGAUGUCAACAUGAGGAGUAGGGAUUGCCAUGCAACGGAUGCACUAGAGCUAUUAAUGAAUGAAAGCUCAACAAAAGAAAACUAGUGGGUGUGCAUCCAACUUGCUUGCUCACGAAGACCUAGGGAAUUUGAGGAAGCCCAUCGUAGGAAUAUACAAGCCAAGUUCUAUAAUGAAAAAUUCCCACUAGUAUAUGAAAGUGACAACCUAUGAGACUCUCUACAUGAAAACAUGGUGCUACUUUGAAGCACAAUAUAUGAGACUCAUUACAUGAAGAACAAGGUGCUACUUUGAAGCACAAGUGUGGAAAAAAAAGAGAUAGUAGCAUUGCCCCUUUAUUUAUUUUCUUCUUUUUUCUUUUUCUUUUUUUUCUUCUUUCUUUCUUUUUCUUUUUUUCUUUUUCUUCUUUCUUUUGGCCUUUUUUUGGCCUUUCUUUUUUUCUUUUUGGGCAAUGCUCUAAUAAUAAUGAUCAUCACACUUUUAUUGAUUACAACACAUGAAUUACAACUCGAAACUAGAACAAGAUAUGACUCUAUAUGAAUGCCUCCGGCGCUGUACCGGGAUGGUGCAAUGAAUCAAGAGUGACAUGCAUAAAAAUUAUGCACGGUGGCUUUGCCACAAAUACGAUGUCAACUACAUGAUCAUGCAAUGGCAAUAUGACAAAAGUAAUGUAUGUCAUGAUGAUGAUGAACGGAACGAUGGAAAGUUGCAUGGCAAUAUAUCUCGGAAUGGCUAUGGAAAUGCCAUAAAUAGGUAGGUAUGGUGGCUGUUUUGAGGAAGAUAUAAGGAGGUUUAUGUGUGAUAGAGCGUAUCAUAUCACGGGGUUUGGAUGCACCGGCGAAGUUUGCACCAACUCUCAAGGUGAGAAAGGGCAAUGCACGGUACCGAAGAGGCUAGCAAUUAUGGAAAGGUAAAAGUGCGUAUAAUCCAUGGACUCAACAUUAGUCAAAAGAACUCAUAUACUUAUUGCAAAAAUUUAGAAGUCAUCAAAAACCAAGCACUACGCGCAUGCUCCUAGGGGGGUAGAUUGGUAGGAAAAGACCAUCGCUCGUCCCCGACCGCCACUCAUAAGGAUGCACAAGCCAGGUACACUUCAUGCUUCAAAUUUGUUACACAACUUUAACCAUAUGUGCAUGCUACGUGACUUGCUAACUUCAAUACAAGCAUUCUUUAAAUUCAUAAUCACCCAACUAGCAUGACUUUAAUAUCACUAACUCCAUAUCUCAAAACAAUUAUCAAGUAUCAAGUUGAUCAUAGCAUCCAAUUCACUUCCUAUGAUAGUUUUUAUUAUACCCAACUUGGAUGCUCAUCAUUCUAGGACCAAUUUAUAACCAUAGCAAAUACCAAACUGUUCUAAAAGACUCUCAAAAUAAUAUAAGUGAAGCAUGAGAGAUCAACAAUUUCUUCAAAAUCACCGCCGUGCUCUAAAAUAUAUAAGUGAAGCACUAGAGCAAAAACUAUCUAGCUCAAAAGAUAUAAGUGAAGCACAUAGAGUAUUCUAAUAAAUUUCAAUCAAGGAGGCUUCUCCCAAAAGGUGUGUUACAGCAAGGAUGAUUGUGGUAAACUAAAAAACAAAGACUAAUAUAAUACACGACGCUCCAAGCAAAACAAAUAUCAUGUAGCAAAUAAAAAUAUAGCUCCAAGUAAAGUUACCAAUGAACGAAGACGAAAGAGGGGAUGCCUUCCGGGGGCAUCCCCAAGCUUAGGCUUUUGGCUAUUCUUGAAUAUCUUGGGGUGCCUUGGGCAUCCCCAAGCUUAGGCUUUUGCCACCCUUUAUUCCAUAGUCCAUCAAAUCUUUACCCAAAACUUGAAAACUUCACAACACAAAACUCAACAGGAAAUCUCAUAAGCUCCAUUAGUGAAAGAAAACAAAACCACCACAUAAGGUACUGUAAUGAACUCAUUCUUUAUUGGUGUUAAACCUACUUUAUUCCAAGUUCUCUAUGGUUCAUACCCUUACAUACUAGCCAUAGAUGCAUCAAAAUAAGCAAACAACACACGAAAAAACAGAAUCUGUCAAAAACAGAACAGUCUGUAGCAAUCUGUAACUAACGCAAACUUCUGGAACUUUAAAAAUCCUACCAAAAUAGGAAGUCCUAAACAAUUUGUUUAUUGAAUAGUACCAAAAAGAAUCAAUGCAAAAGCUCGUUCCUGUGAUUUAUUGAAUCUUUUUCGUAAGCGCAAAGUUUCUGUUUUUCAGCAGAAUCAAAUCAACCCAUAUCAUAGGUUAUCCUAUAGGUUCUACUUGGCACAAACACUAAAUGAAACAUGAAAACACAUCUAAACAGAAAGUAGAAACAAAAUUUAUUACUAAACAGGAACAAAAACAAGAAACACAAAGAAAAUUGAGUUGCCUCCCAACUAGCGCUAUCAUUUAACGCCCCUAGCUAGGCAUAAAAGCGAAGAUAGAUCUAAGUAGUGCCAUCUUUGACACUUGGUUCAUAAGUAGCUCGCAUGAUAGAUUCAUAAGGUAAUUUGACUUUCUUUCUUGGAAAGUGCUCCAUGCCUUUCUUUAAUGGAAAUUGGAAUCUAAUGUUCGCUUCCUUCAUAUCAAUAAUCGCACCAAUCGUUCUAAGGAAAGGUCUACCAAGAAUAAUAGGGCAAGAAAGAUUGCAAUCUAUAUCAAGGACGAUAAAAUCAACGGGCACCAAAUUUCUAUUAGCAACAAUUAGAACAUCAUUGAUUCUUCCCAUUGGCUUUUUAAUGGUGGAAUCCGCAAGGUGCAAAUUUAAAGAGCAAACAUCAAGAUCAUGGAAACCUAGAAUAUCACAUAAAGUUUUCGGAAUCGUGGAAACACUAGCACCCAAAUCACACAAAGCAAAACACUCAUAAUCUUUAAUUUUAAUCUUUAUAGUAGGUUCCCACUCAUCAUUGAGUUUUCUAGGUAUAGAAACUUCUAAAUUAAGUUUUUCAUCAAAAGAUUGCAUCAAGGCAUCAACAAUAUGUUUGGUAAAAGCUUUAUUUUGACUAUAAGCAUGAGGAGAAUUAACAACGGAUUGCAACAAGGAAAUACAACUUUCUAAGGAACAAUUAUCAUAAUGAAAAUCCUUGAAAUCCGAGAUAGUGGGUUCAAUACUACUUAAAGUCAUGACCUCUCCAAUCCCACUUUUACCAAAUUUAGCAUCAAGAUCUAAAAACUCUGAAUUCUUGGGACGCCUUCUAAAUAAAGUUGACUCAUCUCCAGUCCCAUUAUUAUCAAGAUUCAUAUUGCAAAACAAAGAUCUAAUAGGGGACACAUCAAUAACUUUAAGAUCUUCAUCAUUAUUUUCAUGGAAACUAGAAGAACACAGUUUUAUAAAGCAAUCUUUCUUAGCACGCAAUCUAGCGGUUCUUUCUUUGCAUUCGUCAAUGGAACUUCUCAUAGCUUUGAGAGACUCAUUGAUAUCAUGCUUAGGAGAAUAAGAUUUAAGUUUGAGAGAAUCAACAUCAAGCGAAAGUCUAUCAACGUUCCUAGUCAAAUCAUCAAUUUUGAGCAUUUUUUCUUCAAGCAAAGCAUUAAAAUUCUUUUGAGAGAUCAUAAAUUCUUUCACACUAUUUUCAAAAUCAGAGGGCAUCUUAUUAAAAUUACCAUAAGAAUUAUUGUAGGGAUUUCCAUAAUUAUUAGAGGAAUUGCAAGGAACGGUCUAGGAUUAAAGUUUCCUCUAUAAGCAUUGUUUCCAAAAUUAUUCCUACCAACAAAAUUUACAUCCAUAGAUUCAUUAUUAUUCUCAAUCAAGGUAGAUAAAGGCAUAUCAUUGGGAUCAAUAGAAGAACCCUUAGUAGCAAACAAUCUCAUAAGCUCAUCCAUCUUUCCACUCAAAACAUUAAUUUCUUCUAUAGCAUGCACUUUUUUACUAGUAGAUCAUUCGGUGUGCCAUUGAGAAUAAUUAGCCAUAAUAUUAUCAAGAAGUUCUGUAGAAUCUCCUAACGUGAUUUCCCCUAAACGUGCCUCCGGUGGCCGAAUCUAAAAGAUUUCUAGAAACAAAAUUCAAUCCGGCAUAAAAAAUUUGUAUGAUCAUCCAUAAAUUUAAACCAUGAGUAGGGCAAUUGCGAAUCAUCAUUUUCAUUCUUUCCCAAGAUUGGGAAACAUACUCAUGAUCAAGUUGUUUAAAAUUCAUAAUAUCGUUCCUAAGCGAGAUGAUCUUAGCGGGAGGAAAAUACUUAGAGAUAAAAGCAUCUUUGCACUUGUUCCAAGAAUCAAUACUAUUUUUAGGCAAAGACGAAAACCAAACUUUAGCACGAUCUCUAAGUGAAAACAGAAAUAACUUCAACUUAACAAUAUCAUUAUCCGUAUCUUUUUUCUUUUGCAUCUCACACAAAUCAACAAAGUUAUUUAGAUGAGUAGCGGCAUCUUCACUAGGAAGGCCGGAGAAUUGAUCUUUCAUAACAAGAUUCAGCAAAGCAGCAUUGAUUUCACAAGACUCAACAUCAUUAAGAGGAGCAAUCGGAGUACUAAGGAAAUCAUUAUUAUUGGUAUUGGAGAAAUCACACAAUUUGGUAUUAUCUUGCGCCAUGGAAACAAGUAAUCCAACACACAAGCAAACAGAAAAAAAGCAAGCAAAAGAGGCAAGCGGAAAAGAGAGGAGAUUGGGAAAGAGAGGGUGAAUAAAAUGGCAAGGGUGAAGUGGGGGAGAGGAAAACGAGAGGCAAAUGGCAAAUAAUGUAAAUGCGAGGGAGAUGAGUUUGUGAUGGGUACUUGGUAUGUCUUGACUUGAGCAAAGACCUCCCCGACAACGGCGCCAGAAAUCAUUCUUGCUACGUCUUGAGCUUGCGUUGGUUUUCCUUGAAGAGGAAAGGGUGAUGCAGCAAAGUAGCAUAAGUAUUUCCCUCAGUUUUUGAGAACCAAGGUAUCAAUCCAGUAGGAGGCUCCUCACAAGUCCUACGAACCUACACAAACAAACAAAGAACUUGCAACCAACGUGAUAAAGGGGUUGUCAAUCCCUUCAUGGCCACUUGCGAAAGUGAGAUCUGAUAGAGAUAAUAUGAUAAGAUAAAUAUAUUUUUGGUAUUUUAUAAUAUAGAUGUAGAAAAUAAAGAUGCAAAUAAAAGUAGAUUGGAAACUUAUAUGAUAAAAGAUAGACCCAGGGGCCAUAGGUUUCACUAGAGGCUUCUCUCAAGAUAGCAUAAGUAUUACGGUGGGUGAACAAAUUACUGUCGAGCAAUUGAUAGAAAAGCGAAUAAUUAUGAUGUUAUCUAGGCAUGAUCAUGUAUAUAGGCAUCACGUCUGCAACAAGUAGACCGACUCCUGCCUGCAUCUACUACUAUUACUCCACACAUCGACCGCUAUCCAGCAUGCAUCUAGAGUAUUAAGUUCAUAAGAACAGAGUGACACAUUAAGAAAGAUGACAUGAUGUAGAGGGAUAAACUCAAGCAAUAUUAUAUAAACCCCAUCUUUUUAUCCUCGAUGGCAACAAUACAAUACGUGUCUUGCAACCCUUUCUGUCACUGGGUAAGAACACCGCAAGAUUGAACCCAAAGCUAAGCACUUCUCCCAUGGCAAGAAAGAUCAAUCUAGUAGGCCAAACCAAACUGAUAAUUCGAAGAGACUUGCAAAGAUAACUCAAUCAUACAUAAAAGAAUUCAGAGAAGAUUCAAAUAUUAUUCAUAGAUAAACUUGAUCAUAAACCCACAAUUCAUCGGAUCUCGACAAACACACCGCAAAAAGAGAUUACAUCGAAUAGAUCUCCACAAGAGAGGGGGAGAUCAUUGUAUUGAGAUCCAAAAAGAGAGAAGAAGCCAACUAGAUAAUAACUAUGGACUCGAAGGUGUGUGGUAAACUACUCACAACUCAUUGGAGGGGCUAUGGUGUUGAUGUAGAAGCCCUCCAUGGUGGAUUCCCCCUCCGGCAGAACGCCGGCGACGGCUCCAAGAUGGGAUCUCGCGGAUACAGAAGGUUACGGUGGUGGAAAUAUUUCUUCGGUGGCUCCCUGGAUGUUUUCAGGGUAUGUAGGCUUAUAUAGGAGGAAGAAGUAUGUCGGUGGCCGCCCGAGGGGCCCACGAGACAGGGGGGCGCGCCCUGUAUGGGUGGGCGCGCCCCCCACUCUCGUGGCUGCCUCGGCUGCUUCUUGACUUGCACUCCAAGUCCUCUGGAUCACGCUCGUUCCAAAAAUCAUGCUCCCGAAGGUUUCAUUCCGUUUUGACUCCAUUUGAUAUUCCUUUUCUUCGAAAUACUGAAAUAGGCAACAAAAAAACAGCAAUACGGGCUGGGCCUCCGGUUAGUAGGUUAGUCCCAAAAAUGAUAUAAUUGUGUAAAAUAAAGCCCAUAGACAUCCAAAAUAGGUAAUAUAAUAGCAUGGGACAAUCAAAGAUUAUAGAUACUUUGGAGACAUAUCAGAUGUGCACUUGCGUUGAGCGUGCAGUGCGGAAGUGCUAUCAGAAUAAUUAUUCUGCUAAUAUUAGCAGAAUAGACCGGCUGUAUAUACCAAUUGGAUGUAAGUUAGCAUGAACUAUUGUUGUUGACAUUACCCUUGAGGUAAAAGGUUGGGAGGACACACUAUAAGCGCCUAUCUUUCUCUGUGUCCGAUUAAAACUCCAUAACCAUAAGUAUUGCAUGAGUGUUAGCAAUUGUGAAAUACUAAAUGAUAGUUGAGUAUGUGGACUUGCUGAAAAGCUCUAUUAUUGACUCUUUCCGAUGUUAUGAUAAAUUGCAAUUGCUUCAAUGACCGAGAUCAUAGUUUGUUGGUUCUCAAUGAAGUUUCUGAUUCAUACUUGACAUUGUGAAUAGAUUGUUACUUGAGCAUAAGAAAUCAUAUGACAAAUUAUAAAAAUGUUGCUGUUAUAAGAAUGAUCAUGAUGCCCUCAUGUCUGUAUUUUAUUUUAUCGACACCUCUAUCUCCAAACAUGUGGACAUAUUUUUCGAUAUCAGCUUCCGCUUGAGGAGAAGCGAGGUCUAAGCUUAGGGGGGUUGAUACGUCCAUUUUGCAUCAUGCUUUUAUAUCAAUAUUUAUUGCAUUAUGGGCUGCUAUUACAGGUUAUGUCACAAUACUUAUGGCUAUUCUCUCUUAUUUUACUAAGAGGGAGAAUGCCGGCAGCUGGGAUUCUGGGCUGGAAAAGGAGAAAAUAUUAGAGACCUAUUUUGCACAGCUUCAAAAGUCCUGAAACUCCACAAGUCAUUUUCGGAAUUAAUAAAAAAUACUGAGUGAAAGAAAUACCAAAGGGGGCCCACACCCUGGCCACGAGGGUGGGGGGCGCACCCUACCCCCUGGGCGCGCCCUCCUGCCUCGUGGGCCACCUGGCAGCCGUCUGGUGCCCAUCUUCUGCUAUAUGAAGUCUUUUACCUUGGAAAAAAUAAUAAGCAAGCUUUCGGGAUGAAACUCCGCCACCAUGAGGCGGAACCAAUCUAGGGCUCCGGUGGAGCUAUUCUACCGGGGAAACUUCCCUCCUGGAGGGGGAAAUCAUCACCAUCGUCAUCACCAACGAUCCUCUCAUCGGGAGGGGGUCAAUAUCCAUCAACAUCGUCACCAGCACCACCUCCUCUCAAACCCUAGUUCAUCUCUUGUAUCCAAUCUUUGUUCGAAAACCUUAGAUUGGUACCUGUAGGUUGCUAGUAGUGUUGAUUACUCCUUGUAGUUGAUGCUAGUUGGUUUAUUCGGUGGAAGAUCAUAUGUUCAGAUCCUUAAUGCAUAUUAAUACCCCUCUGAUUAUGAACAUGAAUAUGCUCUGUGAGUAGUUACGUUUGUUCCUGAGGACAUGGGUGAAGUCUUGCUAUUAGUAGUCAUGUGAAUUUGGUAUUCGUUCGAUGUUUUGAUGAGAUGUAUGUUUUCUCUCCUCUAGUGGUGUUAUGUGAAUGUCGACUACAUGACACUUCACCAUUAUUUGGGCCUAUAGGAAGGCAUUGGGAAGUAAUAAGUAGAUGAUGGGUUGCUAGAGUGACAGAGGCUUAAACCCUAGUUUAAGAGUUUCUUCGUAAGGGGCUGAUUUGGAUCCAUAUGUUUCAUGCUAUGGUUAGGUUUACCUUAAUACUUCUUUUGUAGUUGCGGAUGCUUGCAAUAGGGAUUAAUCAUAAGUGGGAUGCUUGUCCAAGAAAGGGCAGUACCCAAGCACCGGUCCACCCACAUAUCAAAUUAUCAAAGUAACGAACGUGAAUCAUAUGAGCGUGAUGAGAACUAGCUUGAUGAUAAUUCCCAUGUGUCUUCGGGAGCGUUUUUCUCUAUAUAAGAAUUUGUCUAGGUUGUCCUUUGCUACAAAAAGGAUUGGGCCACCUUGAUGCACCUUAUUUACUUUCAUUGCUUGUUACUCGUUAGAAAUUACCUUAUCACAAAACUAUUUGUUACCGAUAAUUUCAGUGCUUGCAGAGAAUACCUUACUGAAAACCGCUUGUCAUUUCCUUCUGCUCCUCGUUGGGUUUGACACUCUUACUUAUCGAAAGGACUACGAUAGAUCCCCUACACUUAUGGGUCAUCACCUGUUUACAUGCUGAAUAACAAAAAAAAGAGAAAUUAUUACUUAGCCCUCCUAUUUCUAACAGGAUAGGAGCCAGAAUUCAGCUAGAAUUGUGGCGAGCGUUCCAUGCAAUCAACUUCCAUUAUCACAUGCGAGAACCCUCAAAGAGAAGCAAAUGUGUUGAAGAUUGCUUUAUCACAGAUUAAAAUAAAAUAAGAUUGUAGACGCUCCACCAUGCGGUUCCUAGUAGUACUUGUAUAGUAGUACUACUAGUAGUAUUUAAUACUACUCGGAGUACUAGUAAACCUUGUGUUUGUCUCUUCGCCUCUUCAGAAAGUGGAAAUGAUGGUACUAGUACAUUGUAUGCUUCUGGCAAUCUGACACCGAAUUAAUUGUUGCACGUCCACCGCCUCCUCCAAUGCAAAGGUGCUUAGAUGAGGUGUUAAGUAUAUUAAGCCUUAGCAAUUCAAGUCCCCAAUGCAAAGGUGCUAAGCUUCAUGUAUUUAAUUAGUUGUAGACUCAGAAUUGUGCUUCUACCUAGGUACACGUGCUUAGCACCACUUCUUCCUGGGGUCACCAUACUACUCUCUCUCUCUUCUUAACUAGCAUGCCACAUCAGAUUUUUUGCCUAGUUGGCAACCUUAGCACCUGUACAAGUUGGAGUGUUGGGAGGGGCCUAAGCGAGGGAGAUCUUGCAUUAGUCAAAAGUUUCUCCUUGUCAUGUGAGCCACCGCGCGUAAACUUCUCUUUGUUCUGCAAGUUGACGGGACACAACAAAGUAAUGCUAGUCCAUACUGCCUCCUUUCCGGUUAAUAUAGCUUAAUUUGAAAAGAGAUAUAUACAAUGGCUGUCACUGUAUAUUUGUAAAAAUACGAUCAGUGGACUUCAUAAUACGCUCAUUGCGGUUAAUAUAUACAUUUCCCGGUGUUUAUACGGUCACUAGCUCACCCUGGCUGAGUAUGUUUGUAUGUGUGUGCAUGCACGUGUAGGUUGAGCACUUGAGCGUGGACAUGUGUGUUCCGUCGUGUGCUCGGACAUGCAUGCAUUAGGAAGUCACGCGCAUUUUUGUGUGCAUGUGUAGUGUGACUGUUGCAUGCAUGCACGAGGUUGUAGUCCCUCACAUUCACAUGUUCAUAUGUCAAUGAUUUGUCAAAACGUUGCAUGCAAGGUUUAAUUCUGCGUUGUUCACGCAUGCAUUCCCGAUAUUAAUACGUUGGUAAAGACAAUUCUUGAGGAAAACGAGUCGAUGAAUUGAGUACAAAGGGGAUCAAUAAACCAGGACGGAGGGAGUACUAGUAGUAAAGCAGAAGGAGGGAGUAGGUAUGUAACAACAUGCAGGAACAAAAUGCCUCUAUGCGCAUCAUGUCCACGUGUCAUGCAAGAAAACAGAGAUAAGUACAAGUGAGACUCAUGAACGGUCAUACACGUAGGGGGAGUAUGUGCAGGGGCCACGGUAAUAUGACUAAUGAGCAGUCAAAUCACACAGUAAGUUAGUCGGAUGAAGGAACCAUCAUUUCACUCUUCAAUGACAUGUACGCAAUAUAAAAAGGUUGAUAUGGAGAGAAAAAGAAAACCGCUCCACUAUAUAUAGACUAGCAGGAGCCUAAGCUACAAGCCUACUUGCUUGGAUUGCUCUCUUCACAAGCAUAGAACGACAGUGGCCACACCGCUGGUCACAGAUCCGGCCCGAUCCCGCCGCCAAGGGAAUGGGAGGAUGUUCUGCGUAGACGUGGUCGGCAGCGGCGAGGGAAAAACCCACUAUUGGUUAUGGUGUCUUGGAGUAGGGGGUACUCACCACGUCGUCUCCCAAACAGGUGGAUCGGGCCAAGGGCCCCCAUGGUGGUUCACUAUUGGGCCACUUCAGGCAGCUGAUGACAUACACGAGGAAGCUUCCACAAGACUUGGUGAUCAAGGCAAGGACUCCUCUCCAGUCUCCACCAAUGUAUUCGACUAGGAUUGUUGUUAUCCUAGGCCUCUGGUACAUUAUAUAAGCCGAGGCCAGGCUAGUCGACAGAUCAUUAUGACAUUUAUCAUCAUACCAUUAGGGUUUAGACCACAACAGAUGAUCUCGAGGCAGAUCAACUCUGUACUUGAUACCCUCUCAAUAUAAACAAGAGCAAGACGUGGGGUUUUACCUCCAUCAAGAGGGCCCAAACCUGGAUAAAACAUCGUCUCCUUCGUCCUUGUUACCAUUGAUCCGAGAAUCCAAAGCUCGGGACCCCCUACCCUGAGGUCUGCCGGUUUUGACACCGACAAUGGUGCUUUCAUUGAGAGUUCCGCUGUGAGAUCGACAAAGAAUCAAUGGCAUGCCUGCAGAUCAGCUGCGACAUCUGCAUCUUUGUCGCUGGCUAGACUAGUCACCUUGGCUCGAUCGAGGACUGCACUCCAUCUCAGAUCGUCAUGUUCAGAUGAGGGCCUUCAUCAACGUCAACUCCGAUCUCUAUCAAGAUCAUGGAGGAAUAAUCCAUGGAGCUCGGGGGCUCAACGUCAACAUUACCAUCGAGCGAUCAUGCUGUUUUUCUGGACAACGAACUUGUAUCCGCCGCCACCGCCUCCUCGAGCAUCGCUUUGAUGAUUGCUUUGGUGGAAGUGUGCGGAAUUGAGUCUACAACAAACCUACCAAAUUUAGUCAUAUUCCAAUGAGGGAAUCUUUGGCGAUCUCCAAUAUAUCGAAGCCCUGUCAAAUCUGGACGAGAAUAUGGACGAGUUUGGGGCGUGGAUUCCAGCGUAUAGCUCGAACGUCCUUUGAAAAAAAUCCAACCAUUGAUCGGGAUGCCAGCCCCAUGAUCAAAAUUGCCAUAAUAAUAAUAAAAACUCCCCUGGAAAGUUGUUUGUAUGGAGGGCACCCGAGGAUUCAGUUAGCCAUGGCUUGUGUUUGUUGGUGGAGGGGGAGUAAACUUUACUUUUACCGCUUGGGAACCACCACUAAUUUGGAAGAUAUUGAGAACUCUCAGUCGUAACAUUGACAGGAAAGGUAUACCUCCCAAAAUUAUUAAUCUCUGAUUUAAGCUUCAACCUCUGGCACCUUUGCACAUCCAUGCUUCCAUCUGCAAAGGUCCUAUCCAUUUACUUUUAUGUUAUUUUACUUUUAUUGUCGAGUCAUCACCUUCUCAAACAAGCACCAGUCCUGAGAGCACUACUGUCAUCCUCAUACACUAUGUAUAGUUAAUGUUGUGUGCAUCGUGACUGGAUCUCUUCUACCAUGAAUUACAAUGUUUAGUCGCUAAUUGAAUUGAACUUUGGAGGUGCUCUUCAUUUAUAGUCAGCUGGCAAUAAGGUACAAAUAUGUUCUUCUUUCAUCAGUUUCACGUUUGUAGCACUGACAAUACUUUUAAGCCACUGACUAUUAUAAUCUAUGAAAGAAUCCUCCUGAGCAAACAAACUCGGGCCAUAUGAGUCUAUUUUAUUUUUUAUUUUGUAGGAAACCAUGUAAAGUCCACUGAUAUUUGAUAGUUGAAAAAUUGGAAACUAAACAUUAGCAUAUUCUAGGGGACCAACACAAGUGAGAUAUGUGGCCAGCGGUAAAGAAUAUUAACCACUCAAAACAUAAACAAAAUUGUUCAACCUGAUGUACCUGGAAAUUAUCGGCGUGAAUAAAUGUCACUUUAAAAAAUAGCCUUGAAUUUUUCUAUAGUUAAUUGCCCGUGUGAUGCAACAGAGACAUACAUAUUUGAGUGGCUCAAUGACAAUCGUCCUGUAAAUCUUCCCUCCCUCUCUGAUCUUCCUCUCUCUACAUAUAUGCCCAUCUCCCUUCCUCCUAUCUCCCUCUCUCUACAUAUAUCCCCAUCUUCCUUCCUCCGGUCUCCCUUCCUUCCACCCUCUCUCGCUCAUUGUAGGCGUCACAGGGGACAGACAUUUUGUAAAGUACUAAUAAUUUCCAAGGACCAUUGUUCGCCUACAUCUAUAGCACAUGCCUCCCUUCCUCCCACCCACUCUUCCUAAGGUCUUCCUACCUUCCUAAGGUCUUCCCACGACAAAUGAAAGGGAACAGACAAGUAGCGGAGGUUUGCUUCGGAUAUUCUUCCAUUGAGAUACCAUGCUGAACGGAAGCUUCUUCGUCGAUUCCUGCACCUAUAUAACAAUCAUCAAGCAUAUCAAAUAGGGCUUGGUGUUCAGUAAGCAACUGGAAAGGAUUAAAUGGAGUCCGCCUUUCACGAAGUGCCUACCAAUGUAUCCCGUCGGAUGUCUCUUGC